GCAGAACGCGAAGAACCUUACCUGGUCUUGACAUAGUAAGAACUUUCCAGAGAUGGAUUGGUGCCUUCGGGAACUUACAUACAGGUGCUGCAUGGCUGUCGUCAGCUCGUGUCGUGAGAUGUUGGGUUAAGUCCCGCAACGAGCGCAACCCUUUUCCUUAUUUGCCAGCGGGUUAAGCCGGGAACUUUAAGGAUACUGCCAGUGACAAACUGGAGGAAGGCGGGGACGACGUCAAGUCAUCAUGGCCCUUACGACCAGGGCUACACACGUGCUACAAUGGUCGGUACAAAGGGUUGCUACCUAGCGAUAGGAUGCUAAUCUCAAAAAGCCGAUCGUAGUCCGGAUUGGAGUCUGCAACUCGACUCCAUGAAGUCGGAGUCGCUAGUAAUCGCGGAUCAGAAUGCCGCGGUGAAUACGUUCCCGGGUCUUGUACACACCG
This 439-nucleotide ribosomal RNA is filed under the name uncultured bacterium. RNAcentral's name for it is "bacterial SSU rRNA". It matches the Rfam family "Bacterial small subunit ribosomal RNA", at positions 954 to 1392 of the family's 1533-position model. The record is from RNAcentral.